This 253-nucleotide ribosomal RNA is filed under the name uncultured bacterium. RNAcentral's name for it is "partial 16S ribosomal RNA". It matches the Rfam family "Bacterial small subunit ribosomal RNA", at positions 524 to 776 of the family's 1533-position model. The record is from RNAcentral.
UACGUAGGGGGCAAGCGUUGUCCGGAAUCAUUGGGCGUAAAGCGCGCGUAGGCGGCCCGGUAAGUCCGUUGUGAAAGUCAAAGGCUCAACCUUUGAACGCCGAUGGAUACUGCCGGGCUAGAGUCCGGAAGAGGCGAGUGGAAUUCCUGGUGUAGCGGUGGAAUGCGCAGAUAUCAGGAGGAACACCAAUAGCGAAGGCAGCUCGCUGGGACGGUACUGACGCUGAGGAGCGAAAGCAUGGGGAGCGAACAGG